Molecule: ribosomal RNA, 301 nt
Filed under: uncultured bacterium
Lineage: Bacteria
Description: partial 16S ribosomal RNA
Rfam family: Bacterial small subunit ribosomal RNA
Source: RNAcentral
CAGUCGCCGCGGUAAUACGAGGGGGGCAAGCGUUGUCCGGAAUUAUUGGGCGUAAAGGGCUCGCAGGCGGUUUCUUAAGUCUGAUGUGAAAGCCCCCGGCUCAACCGGGGAGGGUCAUUGGAAACUGGGAAACUUGAGUGCAGAAGAGGAGAGUGGAAUUCCACGUGUAGCGGUGAAAUGCGUAGAGAUGUGGAGGAACACCAGUGGCGAAGGCGACUCUCUGGUCUGUAACUGACGCUGAGGAGCGAAAGCGUGGGGAGCGAACAGGAUUAGAUACCCCAGUAGUCCCUGUCUCUUAUAC